UCAUAUGCGACAGAAGCAAAAUGUCGCGUACAAAAUUUCUUUCUUCCACGUCGAAUUUAUUGCUGACUGGACAGAGAAAAAUGCAAUCUUCCCACCGUCCCUGCAAUCUCCUAUGCCCGGUGGCGCCAUAUGCGGCCGCCGCACCCCGUCCUCAACAGCGGCCGGCGCAUCUUCUCGGAACCCACCGGCAGCGCCUUCUCUCCCCUCCGCGCCGCCACUGUGAAGCCCGCUUUCUCUCCGGCAUGGCCCCAAUGGCCACUUCCUCCUCCCCCACCGCGAACCCCCAGCCAUUCAAGUUGAUCCUGGGGUCUUCGUCAGUCGCCAGGAAGAACAUCCUCAACGAGAUGGGGUUCGAGUUCCAAGUCAUGACCGCGGACAUCGACGAGAGGAGCAUAAGAAGGAAGGAUCCGGAUGAGCUAGUCAUGCUUCUUGCGGAGGCCAAGGGCCAGCCGACAAAUAUGCCGGGCUCAGGGGCAAGACGACACCAAGGGGCCCUGUUGACACAUAAAAACUUGAAAUAUGCUGAUGCUAUCAUGUCUAGAAUGAACAUUUCUGAUUACCAGAAGGAAGGCGACCAACCAACACUGCUGAUCACCUCUGACAUAGUGGUUGUACAUGAAGGGAUUAUUAGAGAAAAGCCAAGCAGCAAGGAAGAAGCACGCCAAUUCCUGAAAGGUUAUUCUGGUGGGCAUGUGUCAACUGUGGGUGGUGUGGUUGUAACUAAUCUUACGACUGGCAAGAAGCUUGGCAGUUUAGACAAAGCUGAGGUGUACUUCCAUGACAUACCAGAUGAGAUAAUUGAGAACCUGAUCGAUGAGGGGGUAGUAUUUAGGGUUGCGGGUGGCUUGCUGCUAGAACAUCCAUUGGUGUUGCCGUUUGUCGAAGCAGUGGUUGGUUCUAGUGACAGUGUAAUGGGGCUAUCAAAGGAUCUGGCAAACAAACUCAUUCACGAGGCAUUGUUGGCAUAGCCUAGCAGUUUGGGUGUGAUCAACAUCGAUUGAAUCCUUACUGCACUGCAUGAAGGUAAUGCGAUGGCGAAAACCUGUCGAGACAUGGUUAUUGUUAUGGUUUGAAUUAUAUGAAGAAUUCCAGGCACAAUGGCACGAAGAUUCAUUGAGUGUGCAAGAACACUUCAGAACUGAUGUCUGCUAUUAUGAUCACUGAUGAGAUGUCACCUGAAACAUCCUCCUGUGGAAACAUCCUGAAUCUUGGUUCUCACAUAAGUGGCUAUUGGCCUAUUUCAGUUUACAUGGUGGCGCUGUUCUUGGACAACUUUGCAAGUGGAUGCCUAUUAUAAAAGAAAUGAGAAAGCUGCACUUUACCAACGCCGAACCUGGCUACAACGCCAAUCUAGCUGGUCAUUGUACUUUCCUAAAAAAAAGCUGGUCAUUGUACUCGCAUGUUUUUUAAGGGAAAGCGACUUGGCUAGAUUACAAUCAUACAUGCAGGGCUAAAUAAUAUUAUGGGCAUAUCUUUUGAUCUCA
Molecule: RNA transcript, 1484 nt
Organism: Triticum aestivum (bread wheat)
Lineage: Eukaryota; Viridiplantae; Streptophyta; Magnoliopsida; Poales; Poaceae
Gene name: 7-methyl-GTP pyrophosphatase
Exons: 11
Source: RefSeq, a predicted model, not a curated record